GCAGCUAGGACCGGUCAACCUUGGAUUGUCUCGUAAUGAAUAGGUCGACGGUUCGAUUCCGUCAGGCGGCUCCA
This 74-nucleotide transfer RNA is filed under the name Glycomyces buryatensis. RNAcentral's name for it is "Glycomyces sp. 18 tRNA-Thr". Lineage: Bacteria; Bacillati; Actinomycetota; Actinomycetes; Glycomycetales; Glycomycetaceae. The record is from RNAcentral.